AUAUCAAUAAGCGGAGGAAAAGAAACUAACAAGGAUUCCCCUAGUAGCGGCGAGUGAAGCGGGAAGAGCUCAAAUUUGUAAUCUGGCGUCUUUCAGGCGUCCGAGUUGUAAUCUAUAGAAGUGUUUUCCGUGCUGGACCAUGUCCAAGUCCCUUGGAACAGGGUAUCAAAGAGGGUGACAAUCCCGUACUUGAUAUGGCCACCAGUGCUCUGUGAUACACUUUCUACGAGUCGAGUUGUUUGGGAAUGCAGCUCAAAAUGGGUGGUAAAUUCCAUCUAAAGCUAAAUAUUGGCGAGAGACCGAUAGCGAACAAGUACCGUGAGGGAAAGAUGAAAAGCACUUUGGAAAGAGAGUUAAACAGUAC
This 364-nucleotide ribosomal RNA is filed under the name uncultured fungus. Its description in RNAcentral is "eukaryotic LSU rRNA". It matches the Rfam family "Eukaryotic large subunit ribosomal RNA", at positions 40 to 398 of the family's 3401-position model. Lineage: Eukaryota; Fungi. The record is from RNAcentral.